UAACCACAACCUUAACCCCAAAUCUAAUUGGAUUGCUCACAUCCUCUCUACCAAUCUCGGUUGGUUCCCAGAGACCACUACAUUGUCGUGAACGGCUGACCACAGCACUUCUUCCUAUUUUGAAGGCCAUUUGAUCCUCGUUCGGCAAUCUGUUUUUUCAGGUUAUGUAUAUGAGGGUGGAAGGUUCUGCGAAACAUUUCAAUUAGACGAUGAUAGCCGGAGAGAUUGAAUCUUGUGGAAAGGUUGAGGAAAGAGUAGAGGAAUACUUGGUUGCGGAUACGGAUGGCAUUUGUGAAGAUCUAAAGAUUGGUCGACGAAUGUAUUGACAAACAAUUUUUUUUGCUAAUGUUAAAAUAUU
Molecule: long non-coding RNA, 358 nt
Filed under: Helianthus annuus (common sunflower)
Lineage: Eukaryota; Viridiplantae; Streptophyta; Magnoliopsida; Asterales; Asteraceae
Description: sRNA HanXRQr2_Chr09g0364431
Source: RNAcentral